This 589-nucleotide ribosomal RNA is filed under the name uncultured bacterium. RNAcentral's name for it is "bacterial SSU rRNA". It matches the Rfam family "Bacterial small subunit ribosomal RNA", at positions 102 to 678 of the family's 1533-position model. The record is from RNAcentral.
ACGGGUGAGUAACACGUAGGUAACCUGCCUAUGAGACUGGGAUAACUAUCGGAAACGAUAGCUAAGACCGGAUAACUGGUUUUCUCGCAUGAGAGAAUCAUGAAACACGGAGCAAUCUGUGGCUUAUAGAUGGGCCUGCGGCGCAUUAGCUAGUUGGUAGGGUAAUGGCCUACCAAGGCGACGAUGCGUAGCCGACCUGAGAGGGUGAACGGCCACACUGGGACUGAGACACGGCCCAGACUCCUACGGGAGGCAGCAGUAGGGAAUCUUCCGCAAUGGACGCAAGUCUGACGGAGCAACGCCGCGUGAGUGAUGAAGGUUUUCGGAUCGUAAAGCUCUGUUGCCCUAGACGAACAGCAAGGAGAGUAACUGCUCUUUGUGUGACGGUAUAGGAGAAGAAAGCCCCGGCUAACUACGUGCCAGCAGCCGCGGUAAUACGUAGGGGGCAAGCGUUGUCCGGAAUUAUUGGGCGUAAAGCGCGCGCAGGCGGUUAAUUAAGUUGGGUGUUUAAGCCCGGGGCUCAACCCCGGUUCGCAUCCAAAACUGGUUGACUUGAGUGUAGGAGAGGAAAGUGGAAUUCCACGUGUGG